RNAcentral lists this ribosomal RNA (265 nucleotides) under uncultured soil bacterium. RNAcentral's name for it is "partial 16S ribosomal RNA". It matches the Rfam family "Bacterial small subunit ribosomal RNA", at positions 26 to 279 of the family's 1533-position model. The record is from RNAcentral.
AGAAUCAACGCUGGCGGCGUGCCUAACACAUGCAAGUCGAACGCGGUCACCCCGCAAGGGGCAACUGAGUGGCGAACGGGUGAGUAACACGUGGGUGACCUACCUUCGAGUGGGGGAUAACGUCCCGAAAGGGACGCUAAUACCGCAUAACAUCCCGUCCUUGAACGGAUGGAGAUCAAAGCCGGGGAUCGCAAGACCUGGCGUUUGAAGAGGGGCCCGCGUCCGAUUAGCUAGUUGGUGAGGUAACGGCUCACCAAGGCGACGA